Molecule: ribosomal RNA, 110 nt
Filed under: Corynebacterium hiratae
Lineage: Bacteria; Bacillati; Actinomycetota; Actinomycetes; Mycobacteriales; Corynebacteriaceae
Description: partial 23S ribosomal RNA
Rfam family: Bacterial large subunit ribosomal RNA
Source: RNAcentral
UGUUCGUUAUUUAGGGCGCAUGGUGGAUGCCUUGGCAUGCUGAGCCGAUGAAGGACGUGUAAGGCUGCGUUAAGCCUCGGGGAGUUGUCAAUAAAGCGUUGAUCCGAGGA